AGGAGACCAAGAGGGCAGGGUGAUGGAGAAAGCACAGGAUGAAGUUCUCGUCUUCCUUCCAACAGAAUCUCAGUUGCACUCAGUUGUUGCCCCCCUCGAACCUCUCUUGAGCCUCAGGAGAAACCACCCUGAUUCAAGGUCCAGAGAAGACCUGACUAGCCCAAGGUAAUUCCGUCCCCUUGCCAGAGUGGCUUGGGCAGGGACACGGGACCUAUUUCAAUGAGGCCAAUGAGACAAAGGUAUUUCUGCUGGGGAGGCAGGGGCUUCAGGCAAAGGGUCUUGCUUGAAAGAGCCACCGGAAGAGGGCUCUCUCCUUCCUUAGGGUGUCACCGUGUCUGGAUGCGAUGCCUGGAAGUGCUACAGCCACUCGCGCCCAGCCUGAAGACGAAACCAACCCCAAACAUAGCCAAGCAGAGAGAUGGAAAGAACUAGGACCCUAAUUACACCACUGAGCAGCUAUAGCAACCAGUUCCAGAGCCCUCUGACUUCCCGCCAAAGUGAGAUGAUAAGAUACUGUUUAAUUUCUCUCUUUUAUACCCAAACACACCAAAAUUGGCACAGAGAUGUGAGCCAUACCUACCACUGUUACUGCUCCAUCCCUAGUUCCAACCACAGUGCAUGGUACAUGGUAGAGAGCCAACAAACACUUGAAGAAUGAAUGGUGCAUACUGAGCGGGAUUUUCCAGAGGCAGACCUGGAGACAAGGCUUCAAGUGCGUGUGUUGUAUUAAGGAAAUGCUCCCAGGGGACAAUAGCAGAGUGGCAGAAAUGGGACCAGGGGGCCAGGGAGCCAAGUACAGAGAAUCAAUCGUCUAAACAGAGCCCCCUGUUUUUUGUUUCACCUGGGAGUAGCUUCCACCUGAUCCCCAGGGGAACUCUGGGAUGUCAGUGACGGCUCAGCAUUGCCCCUGAGGCAAGGGAGCUGGGCUUUCCUAAUCCCCCACUCCUCAGUCUCUGGCUAAGCGCUGUCCCCAGGGGACUUAAUCACCCAAGCACUUCCCCAAGAGUGGCAUCUGCUGACCACUGGAGGCACUGGUACAGUGAAGCGACAGAAGGGAACAGAGAGGGUCCAGGUGGGGCACAGCAAUGUGACUGAAUAAUAACUAUAUUAAUUCAUAUAGUUAAUUCUCAAGCAAUGGCAAAGUGUAGGCAGCUUCUUGUCUGCAAACGUUUCCACGAUAUCUCUCCUGCAGGCAGACGGGUCUUUUCCUGCCGCCUACACAGAAUGGCCAUGGAGCAUCCCCAACUCUUAUUAAAAUGGAAAAAAAAAAAAGCCUUUGCAUUUCAAUCUAUUAUUGCACUUUAUGACUCAUCUUCAGGUUCUCUCUGCAAAACAUUGAAAGCCAGAUCAUAAUUUGAUGAUGAAAUAUUGAUUAUGCAUUUGUAUGCGGAGGUCUAUACUAUAUAGAUAGAAUUCCCACCCUGUAGUAUCUUCUAUUUUAAGUCAGUAUGAAGAUGGAUGUUCCCCCCAGGCAAAUUUUGAUAAGAUACUUGUGUCAAUACAAAAAGAGAUUAAUGCCAAUGUGAAUCAAUACCCGCUUAUUGGUUUGGGUUGCUUCUUCUCCACACAGCAGCUGGCUCCAAGAGGGGUUUCCAAACACCAGCGGCUCCCAGCCAAUCUGCAUAUUUCUUUAUUUAAAUCAUGAGAGUGGGAAGUGGCAAGGGAAUGGUGGGUUGGCAGGGGGCUGCCCAUGCCCACUCCCAAAUUGAGAAGGGAAUGAAAAUAAAACAAACGCAACUUGUCAACAAAUCUGGGAGAAGCUUUAUUACCAUCAUUAGCAGUGUGCUUGUCCUCUGCUGCUUCCAAACAGAAUAAACUUAAAAUGAC
RNAcentral lists this long non-coding RNA (1827 nucleotides) under Pan troglodytes (chimpanzee). RNAcentral's name for it is "lincRNA". The record is from RNAcentral. Lineage: Eukaryota; Metazoa; Chordata; Mammalia; Primates; Hominidae.